RNAcentral lists this ribosomal RNA (253 nucleotides) under uncultured bacterium. RNAcentral's name for it is "partial 16S ribosomal RNA". It matches the Rfam family "Bacterial small subunit ribosomal RNA", at positions 524 to 776 of the family's 1533-position model. The record is from RNAcentral.
UACGAAGGGUGCAAGCGUUACUCGGAAUUACUGGGCGUAAAGCGUGCGUAGGUGGUGAGUUAAGUCUGUCGUGAAAGCCCCGGGCUCAACCUGGGAAUGGCGGUGGAUACUGAGGAGCUAGAGUGCGGUAGAGGAGGGUGGAAUUCCCGGUGUAGCGGUGAAAUGCGUAGAGAUCGGGAGGAACAUCAGUGGCGAAGGCGGCCCUCUGGACCAGCACUGACGCUGAGGCACGAAAGCGUGGGGAGCAAACAGG